GGCAGCUUUUUGGGGGAUGGCAAAUGUUUUGUGUUGAAUGCUGUGUCAUCCACCAAAUGUCAACUUCAGGUAACGAGUCUUCACAUCUUCUCCUUCCUGUGGAACCAUAAGGCUCCAGAGGACAGGGCUUUGGUCUUACUCCUCUCUAUAUUCCCCCAGCUGCUUCCAGCACAGUGCCCUUUCCAUGGUAGGUCCUCAAAUAAUUAUAAUAACACGUGUUGAUCAAUUCUCCUCUAGCUGAAGCCUUGAAAGAGAGAGGCUCAUCAACCAGGUAGAAAUAAAAAGAAAUGCAGGUACUUCUGAAAUGCUUUAUUAGGUUCUAUAAAGGGGUUAAAAUGGUGAUUUUUCAAUCGUAUUCAAAGACAGCACAGCAUCUUUUAGAAAUCUGACUCUGGCUAGAGUAGACCUGGAAACACAUUGGAUGGAGGAAUCACAGCAAGUCACUAAGAUCAGAAUUACUGCUGGACCAUGAAAGUAAACAGGAAAAGACAAAAAAUAUUUUAAAUUAAUCCCAAAUAUACAUCUGUUAAUUGCCAUUUCAAUUCUUCAAAUAUUUGCAUAUGCAAAUGUGCCCAUUCAACACUGAAUUAUUAAAAUUGAGGCAGACAAUUGAGCUUUGCACACAGCAAAGGCAGCCUGGAAUGGAGAAAACUGACUGGAGGUUGAGGAGAGAAAACAUAGGAAACUUCCACUCUUUCUCUUUGUGAUAAGGGAACCUGGUAAUGACCCAGAGACCCUGGGAACUCUGGAAAAGGGCAGCUCUAAAUGGAGGAAGGACACCUUGCAGGGGGAGAGGAAUUAAGGAUUUGUUUGGUUUUCACAAACAUGUCUACGGUAAAUCCCCGUGUGGAGAGAAUGCUUUUUAAGCUCCUGUUAUGUCCCAGACACUGGACAGGCACACAGACCUGUGGUCUCGCAGAGGCUUCAGGUGUGAUACCCCAAAAUAUGACUGACACCUUGGAAACUGAAAAAACAGCAGAAGUAGGAAGGCGUCUCUGACCUUCUCUCAGGCUUUCCUCCCCUGAAGCAGACCAUAAAACCCAGGAUCGUCACUCUCCGACCUCUUCUGUUCCUUCUCCCCUGAAGACACUCAUGUGGCAGGUGCCCACACAGAAGAAACUGAACAAACAGGUCUUACUACAUUUCUCCCAGUUUGUUACCUUUGGAUCAGACCCUUUUGUCCUUCAAUUAUACUUCUGUAUGGCUGUCCAUAAAAAUACAGUUUUCCCUGGGUCUUUGGGGCUUUGCUUCUGAAGGCUCACAUGUCAUGUAAGAUUUACAUGAAAUGCAUUUGCAAGCUUUUUGCUUAUUACUCUUUUGUCAUAGGGUUGUUGGCCAUGAACUUUACAAUGAGUGAGGAAAGAAAUCUUUUCUCCCCUACACAGACAAUAAGCAAGAAAACAAAUAAUUCAAAAUGUCAGAGAGUAGCACACACUACAAAGAUAAAGCAGAACGAUAAUGAUUGGAGUAGAAGCAGGUCUACGUUAGAUUAAGGGGCUAGGAGUCUGUCUGAGGAGAUAUUGAGACCUGAAUGGCAAGAAGAAGCCAGCCCUGUAAGAAUAGAUGGGAAGAGAUCAAAGCAGAGGGAAUACAUGGUCAAAGGUACGGAUAGAAGGCCGACCCAGCAUGAGCGGGGGAGUAGAUGUGCUCAGAGAGGCAAGGGGAACUCAUAGGGCCCACUCGGUCAGGGUAGGAUGUUAGGGUUUUAUUCCAGAUGUGGUGUGAAGCCAUCAGAGGAGGAACAUGUUCUCAUGUGUGGUUUUAUAAAGAUCACUCCAGCUGCCAUGUGGAGGGCAAGGCUGCUGUGUAGGGGCGGAAGAGUCCCAGACCUCUUAGUGCUCUAUCUCAUCACCUACCUAAGAGAUAGUGAUGGCUUGGACCAAGAAAGGUAGCAAUGAAAAUGAAGAAAAGGAAAACAAUAAUAACAUAACAUAUAUUUUGAAAGUAAAGCCAACAUAGAAGUAAAAUAAAAAUCAGCCUCCACUAAUUGACUACUUCUAAUGCUGUACAUAUUUAUACUAUGGCAUUAAUAAUACUAAAAUAGAUUGUGCUAAUAAGGCAUAUUUCAACUGUGUGAAGAUUUACCACUGUGAGUCACAACUCCUGAUUUCCCAAAAUGGAAAUUACAGAAAGAAGCCAAAAAGACCAAUUCAGAGUGACCCAGUGUAGCAGAUGUUGGAAAUUUCCUGGCUGCUACUAUUUGAACAUUCUUCCUGUAUUUUGGGAAUUCCUCCAUAAAUAAAUCCUUGAUGGGAGGCAGACCCCUAGCCGUAGUUCCCAUUGCAAAACAAUUUUUGCCGUAGCAUGGAUCUGUCAGUUAUUCUUAGCAUGGAGCCUUUAGAGCGCCAUGUGCUCUAAUUCACAUGAUCUCGUUCCACAUUAACCAAAAAGUCUUUGAUUGUGAUUUGUCUCUACAAGGAGAUCUUUCUACAAAGAAAAGAAAAAGAAAACGACCAGCAUUUUUUUAAACCGCCUAAUAUGGCCAGCAUUGUGAUAGGAAUCUGAAAAUAUAUUGUUUCACUUAAUCCUCAAACCAUCUCUACCAAUUUGGUAUUAUUGGCUUUAUUUUACAAAUUAGAAAAAAAGAGAGAGAAUCAGAGAGUUUAAGAAAUUUACCCAAAAUCACAUUGUUACUAAGUAGCAAAAUCAAACUGCUCAAUUCAAAUCCUGGUUAAUUCCAGAGUUUUCGGUGUAGAUUUGCUUUGCGCUUUAUGGAUCUCAUAAGAAGGAAACAGUGGUCAAGAAAAUGAAAAAAUACUACAGCCAUCUAGACUGAUUUACAUGUAAAAGGGGAUAAAAUUGAGAUCAGGAAAACCAGAGGACAGGGAGAAAGAAGAGCCAGAGUGCAAAAAAUUUGGGGAGGAUUUGCAAAAUGUUAAGGGAUAAAAAGUGGGAAUUUUAGGUAACUGCCAUCUGUGAUGUGUGAAAUAUUAAAAAAGAAAUGUGAGACGGAAUUUUAAGAAAAUAUGCUAUGUAUGGGUUUCCUCUUCGGUGCAGCUUCAUGAGAUUUCAGGAAAAAUUACAUUGUUUUCAAUGCUUUGAGGGCUACCUGACUGGAGUUUCCUUUAUGAGGACAUCAUUGAGAUGAACCAUGAGGCAACCCAGCCUCUUGUAGGUUGCGUGAGUCUCUCACGGAAUUUUCUGUUUCAAGCAGAGAGGAGUAGCCCAUGUCUCUUUCAACCACACAACAGUGACUUCUGAAUAAACAAGCAACCAUAAUAUCCCUAUGGCUGCCUCUGGCUCACACGGUUUUGAAAGAUUCCAGUUGCUACAUCUCCACCAGAGCCUUGUGUGGCAGUAGACUAGAAUCACGUGAAGUACGUAUAUAAUUUUCACAACUUUAAUUCUGUAAGUGCGGCAAAGGGAAGAAAAGAAGAAUUAAAAUAAUGUUAGAAGACAAAACCAAUUAUCAUCCUAGGAUGUGCUUCAUCGUGUUCCUCAAUUAUCUCCAUCCUGCGAUUGUUUAUUGUGUCUGAACCCCGUAUUCAGAUUGGAGAAACCCAUUUAGGUGUACUUUAUAGAUGUUUUCAGAAGUUUUCUAAGGCAAUUUUGACUCUACUUGAUUGUAAUCUUAGUGGCUGACUUGACCAUGUGCAACUCCACUAAACUGCCAGCCCAACGCUGGAUACAAACAGGGACAGAACAUCCCAACAAGGCACCUGAGAAGGAGGUAGCCUUCUAUGUUCCAGGAACAAAGAAAGUGCUCAAUAAAUGUUUACUGAAUGGAUGGAUGAAUAGACAAGUGAAUAAACAGCCAAAAAAACACGCACAAAAUGGUUCGGUCCUAGUCACAUUCCCAGAUUCUCUUAUGGCACCAACAGCAUAAGGGCCAGUGAUUUCUCAGGCCAAAGAAUCCCUUGCAAGGAGAACCCCCCAGGCAAAGUUCUUCAAGAUUAUCAAUUUCCCUUUUAGAAUGCUCAUCAGUAAAAUGGAAAUAAUUUCUCCAGGCCAGGUGUGGUGGCUCAUGCCUAUAGUCCCAGCACUUUGGGAGGCCAAAGCAGGCAGAUCACUUUGAGGUCAGGAGUUUGAAACCUGACCUCAAGAUGGUGAAACCCCAUCUCUUCUAAAAAUACAAAAAAAUGAGCUGGGCAUGGUGGCACAUGCCUGUAAUCCCAGCUACUUGGGAAGCUGAGGCACGAGAAUUGCUUGAAUCUACAAGGCAGAGGUUGCAGUGAGCUGAGAUCACGCCAUUGCACUCCUGCCUGGGUGAGAGAGUGAGACCCUGUUUCAAAAAACUAAAACAAAACAAACAAAAAAAAAAAAAAAAAGAAAGAAAGAAUUUAUCCUUCAAUCUCCAACCCAUCCCCCAAUUCCAGCCUAGUGUUCUCAUCCUACCUUUCAAAUCUCUCUUUUUACCAUCCCUUCCGUUCAGUACUUACUUGUCCUGUGUCUCUUUUUAUCAGGGCUUCCCAUGCUACAGUGGAUUGAACAGUGCCCCUGGACCCUGAC
Molecule: long non-coding RNA, 4449 nt
Filed under: Homo sapiens (human)
Lineage: Eukaryota; Metazoa; Chordata; Mammalia; Primates; Hominidae
Description: HSALNT0150576
Source: RNAcentral